RNAcentral lists this ribosomal RNA (451 nucleotides) under uncultured bacterium. Its description in RNAcentral is "partial 16S ribosomal RNA". It matches the Rfam family "Bacterial small subunit ribosomal RNA", at positions 354 to 796 of the family's 1533-position model. The record is from RNAcentral.
GUGGGGAAUAUUGGACAAUGGGGGGAACCCUGAUCCAGCCAUGCCGCGUGUGUGAAGAAGGCCUUUUGGUUGUAAAGCACUUUAAGCGAGGAGGAGGCUACCGAGAUUAAUACUCUUGGAUAGUGGACGUUACUCGCAGAAUAAGCACCGGCUAACUCUGUGCCAGCAGCCGCGGUAAUACAGAGGGUGCAAGCGUUAAUCGGAUUUACUGGGCGUAAAGCGCGCGUAGGUGGCCAAUUAAGUCAAAUGUGAAAUCCCCGAGCUUAACUUGGGAAUUGCAGUCGAUACUGGUUGGCUAGAGUAUGGGAGAGGAUGGUAGAAUUCCAGGUGUAGCGGUGAAAUGCGUAGAGAUCUGGAGGAAUACCGAUGGCGAAGGCAGCCAUCUGGCCUAAUACUGACACUGAGGUGCGAAAGCAUGGGGAGCAAACAGGAUUAGAUACCCCAGUAGUCC